UUUCACACAAUCUUUCACACUUUAUAUUUACAGAAAAAUCUAGAGUUAGAAACAGUUGAGAGAGAGAUUCAAAGAGAGUGAGAGUCAGAACAAGGAGAUGAUCGGAGAAGGUGACCUUUUCUAGAUGAUCGGUGGUGACCCUUCCGAUAAUUCUCUGGGAUGAUUGCCACUGGAUUUUGGUCCCCGCUACCUUCAUCAGCGUUGCUUCUCUGUUCUGCAUCGAAGAGGAAAGCUGUCUGCAAAAAAUUAAACUACCGGAACCUGCUUUAUGCAUCGGAGGGUACAUGUCAAAAAACCUGAAUUUUGGCCGCUGAUUAUGGAACUGGUUGUGGGUUCCGACGAAGAUGGUUGUGGAUUCCGAUGAAGAUGGCUGAUGAUGAUUAUGGGUUGGUUGAAGGUGACGGAUUGGGCAUAAGUGGUUGCAGGCGGCGGUGGUUUGAAGAAAGGGACGGCAGGUGGUGGUUACAGGUUGGUUUUAAUGGUGGUGUAUUGAUGGUGAUGGUGGUGGAAGAGUACUGAUAGAGAGAGAGAGAGUGUGUGAGAGAGAGAGAGAGUGAUUCAAUGUGUGUAUGUUAAUAAAAUAUAUUUGUUAAAAGUAUCUUGUAAGUAUGUUAUGCAUUAAUUGUUGUACCUAGGUGUAAAAUGACUAAAAUGUCCUUAUACUUAACUGACUUAGCUAACAAUGUUAGAAAUUUGGACUCAAAUGGUUA
This 710-nucleotide long non-coding RNA is filed under the name Helianthus annuus (common sunflower). The record is from RNAcentral. Lineage: Eukaryota; Viridiplantae; Streptophyta; Magnoliopsida; Asterales; Asteraceae.